Macaca mulatta (Rhesus monkey) is the source of this 4872-nucleotide long non-coding RNA. The record is from Ensembl. NCBI's taxonomy places the organism in Eukaryota, Metazoa, Chordata, Mammalia, Primates, Cercopithecidae.
AUGGGUCUACACAGACCCAGAUCCCACCCGUGGGUCUACAGCGAAGCGGGCCCCUGUGGGGUGGUCCCUGCGGGUCGCGUCCCUGCGGGUCGGGUGCCUGGGGGACGGUCCCUGUGGGGUGGUCCCUGCGGGUCGCGUCCCUGUGGGGUGGUCCCUGCGGGGCGGGCGCCUGCGGGGCGGGUGCCUACGGGAUGGCCCCGGGGGGGUCGCGUCCCUGCGGGGCGGGUGCCUGCGGCGUGGUCCCCCCGGGCUGGGUCCACCGAGCAGGCCGCUGGAAGCCGAGCCCGCGCCCGCCCGCGGCGCCAAGAUGGAGGCAGGAAGCGCCGCCGCCCGCGCCCGCCACCGCCCGCGCCGCCCGCCUGACGCCGCCGUCGCGCCUGACGCCGCCGCCCGCGCGGCCGCCCCUCCCCCGGCCCUCCCCUCCCCCCGCCGUAACGUCCUGACGCUCCGCAGGGACCCCUGACUGGACGGCGGCGCGUGAGCGGAGCGAGAGGCCUCGCCGCGGGGGGGCCGCGGGCGCGCCGGCGCCGCUUACCUGGGGCCGCGCCGGGCCUACUCGGGCGCCCGGCGGGGGCGGCGGCGUCGGGAGCUGCGGCGGCGGCGGGCGGCGGCGGCGGCCGUGGGCUUCGCUCCUUGUUGGGGAUUCGGCGGCGGCGGCGGCGGCGGCGGCGGCGCGGGCGCGCGCUUCCUAGUGACGCAGGCAGCGGGGCCGCGCACGCACGGGGCUGGGAGGGCCGGACACUUAUUUGGCGCUUGCCGGGGAGGAAGGCGGGGCCGUGAAAUAAGGCACAACGGGGCCCGCGGCGCGUGCGCGGACCGACGCUGUCAGCUCCUAACGCCGUCGCUUCCUCUUGGUCCCCGCGGCCCCGGUUGGGUGUCGCCUGCCCCGCGCGGGCGGUCGGGCCGAGGGACGAUGGUCGGUGGACGGACGGGGCCAGGGAGCAGUGCGCACGAGCGGCAGGGCGGUACCUUCAGGCCUCCAGGUACGGGCACCCCUUGCCCGGACGCUGCUGUGGGUGAAGGGGCGCGGACGGGACUCCCCUGCGGGGCGGACGCCUGAACACGAGGCUGUGGCGGAAGACGCUGUAGGGUGCGCGGACUCCCGCGGAACAUGCCGGGGGCUCGGCCAGCCACGGCGCUCCCAGCGUGAAGGGCGAGGGGCAUCCGGGAGCGGCGGGGAGGGAGGGCUCGGUCACCCCUUAAGCUGCCACCCCAGUCCCACAACCAGCACCCCGAUCCCAUCGCAGUCCCACAGCCGGCACCCCGAUCCCACCCCAGCCCAACAGCUGGCAUCCCUAUGCCAUAGCUAACACCCUGUCCCACCGCUGUCCCACGGCCGGCACCCCGAUCCCAUAGCUGACACCCCGGUCCCGCCCCAGUCCCGCAGCCGACACCCCGAUCCCAGCCGGAUCCCGCAGCCAGCGCGGAUCCUGUGGCGCUCGUCUAGCCCCCAGGGCUCGUUUAUACGUUUUAUUGGCAGAGGCUGGAGCUGGCUCUAUUGGCCUCUGUGCUGGAUUUCUUCCCCUGCACCGCAGAGCUGGCUGUCCUGACCUCUCCAGGGUCAUCCAGCACCCUUGUGCUUGCUGUCACCCGCUGCCUGUCUGCAGGAUCCUGGAUUCCCUAUCGGGGACCGAAAUUAGUCAGAAAAUAGGAAGCAGAUGCUUGUUUGGGAUGGAGCCCUGACCCUGUGCUCACACUUUAGGAGGAGGGCUCUGCAGGCCGCCUCCCGGAAUGGGAGGUUCCCAAGCCACUGCACUUCGGAGGGGCUGUAAUUAGAGUUGCACUUUCAUUCUGUUCCCAGUAAAGUGGACCGUGCUCAAGCCAGUGAGGAAAAGGUAUUCUUAACAAUUAGAUUGGCCGAGCGCAGUGGCUCAUGCCUUUUAUCUCAACACUUUGGGAGGCCAAGGCGGGAGGAUCACCUGUGGCCAGGAGUUCAAGACCAGCCUGGGCAACAGAGUGAGCCUGUCUCUGGGGAAGAAUAAAAAAAUUAUUGAGCCUUUGUCAGUGCUACUAUUUUAUUAUCUGAUAAAUAUGAGAGGGUUCACGUGGUCUGUGUGUGCCAUUUAUCUGAGUUUGCCUAUCCUCACAUUUUGGGAAUAAACGUCAAUAAAGUCUAAGAGGAGUGCUGAGGGGGGCCUGGGGAUGGGAGGGUGGCCACCUCAUGCCUGUGUGUUGCGUGGGUUGAGCCCUGGGGCCUGUUCUGCCUCCUUCACUCUGGGACUCCAGGAGAGAACCUGGGCAACAAGAGAGAAACUCCACCUAAAACAAACAAACAAACAAACAACAACAACAAAAAAAACACCUCCAAGAUCACUUAGCUUUCUACUGCUGCCAUAACAAAUUAUCUCAAACUUAGUCACUUAAAAAUGCAAAUUUAGGCUGAGUGCGGAGGGUCACGCCUGUACUCCUAGCACUUUGGGGAGGCCAAGGCAGGAGGAUUGCUUGAGGCCAGGAGUUCAAGACCAACAUGGCCACAACCUAUCUCUAUUUUUUAAAAAUGCAAGUGUGUCCGAGCGUGGUGACUCACGCCUAUAAUCCCAGCACUUUGGGAGGCCAAGGCAGGUAGAUCACAAGGUCAGGAGAUUGAGACCAUCCUGGCUAACACGGUGAAACCCCGUCUCUACUGAAAGUACAAAAACAAAAUUACGCAGGCGUGGUGGCGGGCACCUGUAGUCCCAGCUACUUGGGAGGCUGAGGCGGGAGAAUGGCAUGAACCCAGGAAGCGGAGCUUGCAGGGAGCCGACAUGGCGCCCCUGCACUCCAACCUGGGUGACAGAGCGAGACUCCGUCUCAAAAAAAAUAAAUAUAGAAAAAUACAAAUGUAUUCUCUAACUGUUCUGUAGGUCGGAAGUCCUGCCCAGCCUCACUUGGUCAAAAUCAGGGUGUCUGCAGGGCCAAUGGUUUUUGGAGCUCCAGGGGAGAAGCUGUUCCUGCCUUUCCAGUUUCUGGAAGCACUUGAGCCCCUUGUCUCAUGGCCUAUCCCACACCUGAAAGCCAGCCAAAGUCAGUUGAGUCCUCACCCUGCUCAUCCCGACACUGACUCUUCGGCCUCCCUCAUCUGCUGUCAAGGCUCCUUGUGAUGGCAUGGGGCCACCAGCUGGCCCAGGGCGCCUCCUGUCUCCGAGUCAGCCGACCAGCGACCUUCAUUCCAUCUGCUGCUGUAAUUCCUCUUUGCUUGGAACCAACGUUCACAGAUCCUAGGGGUUAGGAUGUGAAUAUCUUGGGCGGGGCUGUGAGGAGGGGGGCUAUUCUUCGUUCUAAAAUAUUUAUUAUUUUUGUUUUGGGGGCUUUUUUGGUUUUGUUUUUUUUGAGAGAGUCUCGCUCUGUUGCCCAGGUUGGAGUGCAAUGGUGCAGUCUCGGUUCACUGCAACCUCUACCUCCUGGCAGACGUGAGCCACUGCACCCAGCCUGUUUUUGUUUUUGUUGUUGUUUUGUUUUGUUUUCGAGAUGAAGUCUCACUUUGUCACCCAGGCUGGAGUGCAGUGGCAGAUCUCAGCUCACUGCAACCUCUGCCUCAAGCUGUUCUCCUGCCUCAAGCGAUUCUCCUGCCUCAGCCUCCCAACUAGCUGAGAUUACAGGUGCACGCACCACCAUGCCCAGCUAAUUUUUGUAUUUUUAGUAGAGACGGGGUUUUACCAUGUUGGUCAGACUGGUCUCAAACUCCUGAUCUCAGGUAAUCCACCCACCUUGGCCUCCCAAAGUGCUGGGAUUACAGACAUGAGCCAUCGUAUCCAGCCAUAUUUAUUAACUACAAAGGGAAAGAUGAUAAUUUUUUUUUUUUUGAGAUGGAGUCUCACUCUGUCACCCAGGCUGGAGUGCAAUGGCAUCAUCUUGUCUCACUGCAACCUCCGCCUCCCGGAUUCAAGUGAUUCUCCUGCCUCAGCCUCUCAACUAGUGGGGUUACAGGCACACGCUACCACACCCAGCUAAUUUUUGUAUUUUUAGUAGAAAUGGGGUUUCACCAUGUUGGUCAGGCUGGUCUCCAACCCCUGACCUCAUGAUCUGCCCGCCUCGGCCUCCCAAAGUGCUGGGAUUAUAGGCAUGAGCCACUGCACCUGGCUGAAAGAUGAUAAUUUUAAAGUAGAGAAACUGGGUUGGCUGGGCAUGGUGGCUCAUGCCCAGCACUUUGGAGCAUGUACUUUGGAGCCCAGCACUUUGGAAGGCCAAGGCAAGAGGAUUGCUUGAGUCUAGGAGUUUGAGACCAGCCUGACCAGCAAGACCUCAUCUCCACAAAAACUAAAAAGUUAGCCAGGUGUGGUGGUGCACGCCUGUAGUCCCAGCUACUCAGGAGGCUUAGGUGGGAGGAUCACUCGAGCCCAGGAGGUCAAGGCUGCAGUGAGCCGUUAUUGUACCACUGCACUCAGCCUGGGCAACAGAGCAAGAGUCUGUCUCCAAAGGAAAAAAAAGGUCCAGGCGCGGUGGCUCACACCUGUAAUCCCAGCACUUUGGGAGGCCAAGGUGGGCGGAUCACCAGGUCAGGAGAUGGAGACCAUCCUGGCUAACACGGUGAAACCCCGUCUCUACUAAAAAUACAAAAAAAUGUGGUGGCAGCGCCUGUAAUCCCAGCUACUCAGGAGGCUGAGGCAGGAGAAUGGCGUGAACCUGGGAGGAGGAGCUUGCAGUGAGCCAAGAUUGCGCCACUGCACUCCAGCCUGGGCGACAGAGCGAGACUCCGUCUCAAAAAACAACAACAACAACAAAAACAAUAGUCUCCCAGGUAAGUCAGAGUCACAAGGUGUUUUGGUUCCCCGUGGAAACUAAAAGAUAACAGCUUAGGCCGGGCACGGUGGCUCAAGCCUGUAAUCCCAGCACUUUGGGAGGCCGAGACGGGCGGAUCACGAGGUCAGGAGAUCGAGACCAUCCUGGCUAACA